ACCAAAAAUUUGAACAGUGUAUAGUGGAGUUUCCAACAAAGAGCAUAAUGUCCGAAAUUAAUGGUAAUCACUAGAGCUAAAUUCCCAUUGUUUAUUUUAUUUUCAGACCCUUUCAUUGUGUGGAGAAUGAUAUUUAUGAUUAAUUUCAAGAAGCACAAAAUAACAAAGUUUUGCGAAAUUGUGCUCAUUAUAAUUUACUCACUCAUUCACUGUUUACUGUUAUACUACAUGUUCACAAACUUCAGUGUAAAUCUCUUAAUUAGAUAUGGAGCAAUGACAAUAUUCUACAUAUUUAUGAUUGCGGCAACAAUUUUUUAUGUCGCUUUCGAAGAAGAAUUAUCUGAAGGGCUCACAUUUUUGGAUGAAAUUUCUUGGCCCCUUAGUACGAUAAGAAAAGAAGCUUAACUAAAACUCGAAAGAAAAUGUCGUAUCAUAAAUAUGUGUAUAGCAUUUGUUCUGCUAAUGAUUCUGAGUGAAAUCAUUGUCAACUAUCCGUGUUUUGGAGAUCAGAAAGACUUUUUCAUUUGUGUUAAAGUUUUCGAGGAAUAUUUUGGCAAAUGGUCGUUUAUUCCUUACUAUUUUUAUUUCAUAGCAUCUCCGUUUUUUUAUUAUUAUUACUUUAGGCUUUGUUUUACUUUUGUUUACGCAGUUUUAGAAGCAGAAUUACAAUUCUUCCUCAUUGAAGGAUAUUUGUUGCAAACGUAUAAAAUGGAUUAUUUGAAACGUUGGAAAUGUUUAAAAGAUACUCGAUAUCAACAAGAGCUAGGAAAAUCGUUACGACUUUGUAUUGCCCAUCACGUUGCUUUAAAAAAGUUGGUCAAAAUGAUAGUGAAGAUUACACUGAAUGGCAUGCCGCUUUUUUGCUGCUUGGGUUUCUUCUUUAUAUCAGUUAUUUUACAUUUGUUAUAAAUCUCGCCGACUCCAUGACCAACAUUUUAAAAAUACGAAUUUUCUUGUUGGGUACAAAUUGUCUAUGCGUUACUGUUCUUUUGUGUUGGAAUGGCCAACAAAUAAUAGAUGUGACAAACAGUAUUUUCUCUACUUUAAUUGGAGCUCCUUGGUACUUUUGGGAUCUUGACAACAUUAAAAUUCUGCUGAUGUUCAUAACGAAUUGUACCAAGAAUGAUUGCAUUGUUCUGGCCGGGAUUUGUUUAGAUUACAAACUUUUUGCUUCUCUAUUUGUUACGAAUCUCCUUCUCGUAUGCUCUAGUUUUGUUCAACCUUCGCAAACAAAACAACUCUUGAAACAACCAAAAUUAAUACAAUCUUCCGUACCUUAAGCCGUCAUUUUACAAUUUAGUAGAAGUAGGUACAGAAAAACAUGCUCUGUAUUGCACAGAAAAAAUAUUUUUGAGUGGUAUUACAAGGCGAAUUUGAUAAAAGAAUUUUUUUCUUUAUCUAAAUUAUAAUACUUAAUCAGUAAUCACCCAGACAUCAGCGUUUGCUAUUAAAUACUUCUAUUUUUUUUUCUCUAUAUAUGUAAAUUUUUUCAGACUACAUAUUUCUACAAUUUCUUCAAUAAAUAUUUAUUAAACAAAAUAUUGAUCAAAGUUUAAUAAUUUCCAGUGUCAUACUAUAAUAAAUGAUGCUUAAUAGCACACACUAAUAUAGACGGCCGACUUCAUAUGAAAAGUUGUCCGCACUAUCUCUCUCACUCUUUUGUAUUAUAAUUUAUAUAGCUCUAUCUUCGUUAUUUGUUGUAAACCCCUAUUCAGGUGUCGCUACUGUCGCACUAUGAAAAUGUGGAUAAAACAUGAAACUGUAACGAACAUUAUAUUAUUUGUAUUAAUUAGAAGUCACUAACAGUUACAAUUUUUUUUCUGUUAAAUUUGAAAAUUUGUUGAGUUUUGUUUUCAAAAAAAUUUUGUUUCUCGUUUUGUUUUAUAUAAUGAAACUACGCUAAAUACUUGAUCGUAAUCUCCAGAUGAAUUCGGAAACUUCAAAAAAUAUGAAAAGUGUAUUGAAAUGAUAUAAAGAUUGAUAAAAACAAAGCUAUAAAAAACUUGUCUGAGAACGUCACGUUUCAAUCGAUGGAGUAAACUGUCCGAAGUCUAACUACACUAACUUCUAGAGAAACGUUAGCUUAGGUAUGAGAAAUUACAAAAAAUUUUUCAUUGCAAAUGUUAAAUGGAACGUGUUUAAACUUUAAAUCUCAAAAUGCAAACUAAUUACGAAAAGGAUAAAAAGAAAAGUCAAAGACAAAAUCUGGAUAUAUAAAAAAAAGAACAGGUGAAGAAUAAUUGAAGAGAAAAUCUGCUGAAUACGAUCUACAAAACUUAUGAAGUGGUGCUAGAUAAGAAACUAAAAAUAAUUCUUUGAAUUUUAAAAAUUUGAAAAACUCGGGCCCACUUACACAUUUUAUGGACUACUUUGCUCAUAUCAGAAACGAUUCCAGUGAGGACAUGUGAGUAUUAACGGACGAUUCCAAGAAGAGUUUUUAAAACAGCUAGAAGGAAUUACCUACAAACCAUUUUUUCAAAAUUAAUAACCUUAAAUGAAUAUUUUACAAUCUUAGAUACUGAUGGUAGAAUAGGUGUAGCUUGAUCUCAGAUAUUUUAUUCAUCACAUUCUUUAAUGACUUUUCGAUAUUUGCGCAUAAAAAUUUUGAAUAGUGUAUAGUGGAGAGUUUCCAACACAGCAUGGUUGAAUUUAAUGACCCAUUCAUUGUAUGGAGACUGAUAUUUAUGAUUAAUUUCAAAAAGUACAAAAUACCAAAGUUUUGCGAAAUUGCGCUCAUUGUAAUUUACUCGCUCAUUCACUGUUUGCUGUUAUACUACAUUUUCACAAACUUCAAUGUAAAUCUCGUAAUUAGGUAUGGACCCAUAAUGAUAUUCUACAUAUUUAUGAUUGCGGCCACAAUUUUUUCCGUCGCUUUGGAAGAAGAACUAUCUGGAGGGAUCGCAUAUUUGGAUGAAAUUUCUUGGCCCCUUAGUACGAUAGGAAAAGAAGCCCAACUAAAGCUCAAGAGAAAAUGUCGUAUCAUAAAUAUGUGUAUAGCGUUUGUUCUGCUAAUUAUUCUAAGUGAAAUCAUUGUCAACUAUCCGUCUUUCGGAGAUCAGAAAGAUUUUUUCAUUUGUGUUAAAGUUUUCGAUGAUUAUUUCGGCGAAUGGUCGUCUAUUCCCUACUACUUUUAUUUCACUGCAUCUCCGUUUUUUUAUUAUUAUUACUUUAAGCUUUGUUUUACUUAUGUUUACGCAGUUUUAGAAACGCAACUGCAAUUCUUCCUUAUUGAAGGAUAUUUGUUGCAAACGUAUAAAAUCGAUAAUUUGAAACGUUGGGAAUAUUUAAAAGAUACUCGAUAUCAACAAGAACUAGGAAAAUCGUUACAAUUUGCUAUUGCCCAUCACGUUGCUUUAAAAAAGUCUAAAGCGCUCUCAGUGGAGGAAUCAAUGUCUUUAAUAAAUUAUUUUUAGGAUGGUCAAUGUUAUAGUAAGUCUUUCAGUGAAUGGCAUGCCGCUGUUUUUGCUGCUUGGGUUUCUUCUUUACAUUAGUUGUUUUACAUUUGUCAUAAAUCUCGCCGACACCAUGACCAACAUUUUAAAAAUACGAAUUUUUUUGUUGGGCGCAAGUUGUGUUUGCGUUACUGUUCUUUUGUGUUGGAAUGGCCAACAAAUAAUAGAUGUGACAAACAGCAUUUUCUCUACUUUAACUGGAGCUCCUUGGUACUUUUGGGAUCUUGACAACGUUAAAAUUCUUCUGAUUUUCAUAACGAAUUGUACCAAGAAUGAUAGCAUAACAAUGGCUGGGAUUUGUUUAGAUUACAAACUGUUUGCUUCUUUGUUACGAAUCUCCUUCUCGUAUGCUCUAGUUUUAUUCAACCUUCGCAAAAGUUCUCUCUCUUGAAUCAUCCAAAAUUAAUACAAUCUUCUAUAUCUUAAGCCUUCAUUCUACAUACUCGUAUUUAGGCACAGGAAAGCAUUCUCUCUGUGUUUUGUACAGCAAUAAUUAUUUUUGGUGAAAACACAGAAGACAAAAUAAACAACUUCUCUGUUGAAAGCUAUUUUGAAUUGCUCUCUUAGGAUUUUUUACCUUUGUGGAUUUGGACUGUUUCAAUAGAAAAACAGAGAAAAAAUUAAUCCUACAUACAUAAAUCAUUAUAACAAUUUAAGAUGCACCUAAUAUACAAACUGAGUCUGCUUUAAUUUAACGCUCCUUUAAAUUUAAUAAUAAAAUUGAGUACAUUUAAAUGCUAGCUUAAAAAUGUAACGACCUACACAUUGAGUAAAUUUAUUUUUUGGGUUUAGCAGAAUUUUUUACGUGUUUUUGUGCAUUAUAUAUCUAUUUUAAAGAAUGUCAAUAAUAAUAAUACUUUAUAGUAGGUAUAUGUUUUUUCAAUGACUUAAUAAUAUUAAUUCUGUAAUUAGUCAUGAGAAAUUAAAGAAAAAUUAUGAAAAAAUUCACAUAUAUUCACAUUUCAAAAAAAUAAUAAACAGAAUUGUUUUUUUACAAUUGGAUGUUGUUCCUAGACUUACAUUAUUAGUAUAACAGGUGUUUAAACAGCUUAACAAUUUUAAUGUUUUUAUGGAAAACCCUAAAUACAGUAUUAUAAGUAAGUCAUAUAUAGGAUCCUUAAAAAAAUUUAUCAAUAAUCUUUUGAAAAUUUUUUAAUAAAAAAAUUAAAUGACCAAAAAUGAUAUUUUUUCAUUUUAUUCUUAAAUGGUACGAAUUUGUUUUUAAUUUGUACAAUAUUAUUGUUAAGACCGUAAGAAAGUUAUAAUAUUUUUUCUUUUAUAGGAAAAUAAAUCGAUCGAGUAUUUACGUUUAAACUCGGCUGUAAAUAUUUAUUACGAGACAAGAACUGGUCUGUGCGAUAAUAAUUUAUCUUAGGACUAACAUCUAUUUGUGAAAAAAAAACGAUUUUGUUUAUUAUUUUUCUUAAAAAUUGAGUCUCAAAUUUGUGCACUGUGUGCUCAGUAUAGUUCUACCUUAAGAUUGAUAUUAUCUUCUUCUUUACCUUAUUCAUUAGUAGGUACUUCUGACUGUAUGCAGUGAAGAGUCUAUUUUGUUGAACAUUGGCGUUUAUAUGUUACUUUGCAAUUCAUAAAAUUUUAGAACUGAAGUACUGAUCAUAGGAUAAUACAAUAACUAAUAGACACAUACUAUGUAAUGUCCAGCGAAAUAAACUUUUUACCAUACAAUACAGAAGAUUUAAGAACUCUAGGAUUAAUAGUGUUAUGUGUGUUAUGUGAUGUUCAGUAAGAUAUAAAUCUCAGUGUAUACACGCUUUAAAUAAAGUACAUACAUUAAUUUUAACUGGUAAUAGUACUCGUCAAGACCAACAAUUUUUCCUUAUAACUCUUUUUAAACAUCUUAGUUUUUGAGUUAAAAUUAUUUUAAAAUCUUACACAAUUUUCUUACAUGCCACUGAAAGCAAAGUUACCUAGUCGACAAAAAUACCGUUUCCAAGCAAGUUCAUAAAAAUAAAAUAAAAUAAAAUUUAUUAUUACUUUUCUUUGUUGGAACUUUUCAGAAAAAGCUCGUCAAUUUGUAGAAAGAAAUACGAUUUUAAAAAAUGCGAUUUUGAAAAAAUAGUACAUAGAAAAAGUGUUUGCCUUGAUGAGUUCUACCACUGGUUAAAAUUUCGCUUAUUUCGCUUACACCUUGUAUGCAUUUCGAAUAGCUUACUAAGUUAAAUAAUAAAUCUUAGAGAUAAACCCCCUUUCUGCGUUUUGAUUUCCCCAUUUUUGCAUAAAGAAUAAUACUUUUGUAUACCACAUUUCGUUUUUUAAUUUUUUUAUAAAAUUUUAUUUGAAAUAUUGUGAGUCGCUUACACAUUUUACGGGCUACUUCGGUCAAAUGUUAUUAGAGACUAUUUCAACCCUGACAUGUGAGUAUUGAAACGUACUAUUUUACGGAUAAUUUCAGGAAUUUUUUUUAAACCAACUAGGAGGAAUUAAUAACAUUAAAUAAAUAUUUUACAAUUUUAGCUAUUAGUGAAGUAAUGAGUAUAGCUUGAUCUCAAAUAUUUUAUUCAUCACAUUCUUUAACGACUUUUCGAUAAUUGCGCAGAAAAAAGUUUUGAAUAGUGUACAGCGGAGAGUUUCCAACACAGCAUGAUGUCCGAAUUUAAUGGUAAUGAUUAGAGCUAAAUUCCAAUUAUUUAUGUAAUUUUCAGACCCCUUCAUUGUGUGGAGAAUGAUAUUUAUGAUUAAUUUCAAGAAGCACAAAAUAACAAAGUUUUGCGAAAUUGUGCUCAUUGUAAUUUUCUCACUCAUUCAUUGUUUACUGUUAUACUACAUGUUCACAAACUUCAGUGUAAAUCUCUUAAUUAGAUAUGGACCAACGACACUAUUCGGCAUAUUUGUAAGUAAAAAAACUUAUCUUUAAUGCAAUGAUUUUUUUUUAGAUUAUUGCGGUUACAAUUUUUUCUGUCGCUUUGGAAAAAGAACUAUCAGGAGGGAUCGAUAUUCUGGAUGAAAUUUGUUGGCCUUUUAAUAUGAUAGGAAAAGAAGCCCAACUAAAGCUCGAAAGAAAAUGUCGUAUGAGAAACAUGUGUACAGCAUUUGUUGUGCUAAUUAUUCUAACUACAAUCAUUGUCAGCUAUCCGUGUUUUGGAGAUCAGAGAGAUUUUUUCAUUUGUAUUAAAGUUUUCGAGGAAUAUUUUGGCGAAUGGUGGUCGAUUCCCUACUACUUUUAUUUCAUUACAAUUCCGUUUUUUUGUUAUAAUUACCAUAAGCUUUGUUUUACUUUUGUUUACGCAGUUUUAGAAACGGAAUUGCAAUUCUUUCUCAUUGAAGAAUACUUGUUGGAAACGUUUAAAAUGGGUUAUUUGAAACGUUGGAAAUAUUUAGAAAAUACUCAAUAUCAACAAGAACUAGGAAAAUCGUUACGAUUCACUAUUGCCCAUCACAAUGCAUUAAAAAAGUCCUAAGGCGCUCUCAGUGAAGGAAACCUAUAAUAAAUUAUUUUUAGGAUGGUCAAAGCGAUAGUAAAUGUUACAGUGAAUGGCAUGCCGCUGUUUUUGCUGCUUGGGUUUCUUCUUUACAUUAGUUGUUUUACAUUUGUCAUCAAUCUCGCCGACUCCAUGACCAACAUUUUAAAAAUACGAAUUUUUGUGUGUGGCGCAAGUUGUGUUUCCGUUACCGUUCUUUUGUGUUGGAAUGGCCAACAAAUAAUAGAUGUGACAAACAGCAUUUUCUCUACUUUAACUGGAGCUCCAUGGUACUUUUGGGAUGUUGACAACGUUAAAAUUCUUCUGAUUUUCAUAACGAAUUGUACCAAGAAUGAUAGCAUAACAAUGGCUGGGAUUUGUUUAGAUUACAAAUUGUUCGCUUCUUUGUUACGAAUCUCCUUCUCGUAUGCUCUAGUUUUAUUUAACCUUCGCAAAAGUUCUCUCUCUUGAAUCAUCCAAAAUUAAUACAAUCUUCUAUAUCUUCAGCCUUCAUUCUACAUACUCGUAUUUAGGCACAGGAAAGCAUUCUCUCUGUGUGUUUUGUACAGAAAUAAUUAUUUUUGGUGAAAACACAGAAGACAAAAUAAAAACUUCUCUGUUGAAAGCUAUUUUGAAUUGCUCUCUUAGGAUUUUUUACCUUUGUGAAUUUGGACUGUUUCAAUAGAAAAACAGAGAAAAAAAUAAUCCUACAUACAUAAAUCAUUAUAACAAUUUAAGAUGCACCUAAUAUACAAACUGAGUCUGCUUUAAUUUAACGCUCCUUUAAAUUUAAUAAUGAAAGUGAGUACAUUUA
This is an RNA transcript of Tribolium castaneum (red flour beetle), 7685 nucleotides long. RefSeq lists it as uncharacterized. The transcript is spliced from 14 exons. NCBI's taxonomy places the organism in Eukaryota, Metazoa, Arthropoda, Insecta, Coleoptera, Tenebrionidae. The record is from RefSeq and is a predicted model, not a curated record.